RNAcentral lists this ribosomal RNA (305 nucleotides) under uncultured bacterium. RNAcentral's name for it is "bacterial SSU rRNA". It matches the Rfam family "Bacterial small subunit ribosomal RNA", at positions 338 to 661 of the family's 1533-position model. The record is from RNAcentral.
CCUACGGGGCGCAGCAGUGGGGAAUAUUGCACAAUGGGCGAAAGCCUGAUGCAGCAACGCCGCGUGAAGGAAGAAGGUCUUCGGAUCGUAAACUUCUGUCCUUGGGGAAGAUAAUGACGGUACCCUUGGAGGAAGCCCCGGCUAACUACGUGCCAGCAGCCGCGGUAAUACGUAGGAUGCGAGCGUUAUCCGGAUUUAUUGGGUUUAAAGGGUGCGUAGGCGGACGCUUAAGUCAGCGGUAAAAUUGCGGGGCUCAACCUCGUCGAGCCGUUGAAACUGGGUGCCUUGAGUGGGCGAGAAGUACG